This is a long non-coding RNA of Lineus longissimus, 1292 nucleotides long. RefSeq lists it as uncharacterized. The transcript is spliced from 3 exons. The record is from RefSeq and is a predicted model, not a curated record. NCBI's taxonomy places the organism in Eukaryota, Metazoa, Nemertea, Pilidiophora, Heteronemertea, Lineidae.
GUGUUAUCAGUCCAUGCUUAGAUAGUUGGACACAUUUUUACACAAGGAGCAUGGCUGCGGCGUUGAUUGUGUUGGAAAAUUUGGAAGCAAGGCGGGCUUUACGACGGCAGCGUGUGUUUAGAGAUCGUCUACAACCGCUUGACGUCUAUGAUGACGUAGAUUUGUACAGACGAUACCGGAUGACUCGGCCGGUCCUUCUCGAAGUUAUCGACCUGUUGCAGGAUGACAUUGCCCCGUAUACGCUGCGCUCGCACGCCGUUCCAGCAACUCUCCAAGUUUGCGUUGCGCUUAGAUAUUUUGCUACUGGCAGUUUGCAGUUGGACAAUGGAGACAUGUCAAAUGGCUUGAGUCAUUUCCUCGAACAGCUGCUGAGCAAGAACGUCAGAAGGAAGGAUUUUAUACAGAACGCCAUCGGAUUCCGAACGUUAUUGGCUGCGUAGAUGGAUCCCUUAUUCCGAUCAAAUGUCCAUCCGUAAACGAGAAUGCAUACGUGUGCAGGAAACAGUGGCAUGCCAUUAAUGUGCAGGGGAUUUGUACUUAUGAUUUGAAAUUUUCAAAUAUAGUAGCCCGAUGGCCAGGUGCCACCCAUGAUGCGUUUAUCUGGUCCAACUGCAAUUUAAAGGUGAAGAUGGAACGCGGCCUGAAUGAUGGAGGAUACUUGCUCGGUGACAGUGCCUACCCACUUAGACCCUGUCUCAUGACCCCAGUCUCCCGCCCAGCAGAUGCAGCGGACAGACAAUACAACGUUCACCACAGGCGAGUACGAAACAUCAUUGAACGAACCUUUGGAAGAUGGAAAAACCGAUGGAGGUGCUUGCACAAAGAAGGUGGAACUCUUCGAUUAAGCCCCGAGAAGUGUUGCUCGGUGAUCAUUGCAACAUCUGUGCUACAUAACAUCUGUGAAAACCACGGCCUCCCUGUCCCAAACGACCCACCAGCCAAUGUGGAUAAUCCCGAUGAUGACGUCAACAAUAGACCAAUCCUCGAUGUCGAUGUCGAAGAAAGAGGUGUUGGAGAAAGGGCACGCUUGAUAGAUCAGCAUUUCAGGAAUAUGUAAUGAAGCCGUUGUUCUUCCACGUCAAGUCGCUUGCUCUCGAUUUUGACCCGUUCCUUCUCCACAUCAAUUAGUUCAACGGCAUGUGAAAGCUUCUUAUCUGCGAGAGACAAACCAGUUGAAGACGCCUUGGAAGAGCCAGCAGUGGGACGACAGCUCUUGGGUUGUCGGGCAGGACUUGGCGGCGGUGAAGGGGAUCGGGUGUCAUCUUCUGAGCUGCUAUCGUUCGGGCGCGUGA